UACGGAGGGGGCAAGCGUUGUUCGGAAUUACUGGGCGUAAAGGGCGCGCAGGCGGCUGCUCAAGUCAGGCGUGAAAGGCCUGGGCUCGAACCCGGGAAUUGCGCUUGAGACUGGGCUGGCUUGAGUGCGGGAGAGGAUGGUGGAAUUCCCAGUGUAGAGGUGAAAUUCGUAGAUAUUGGGAAGAACACCGGUGGCGAAGGCGGCAUCCUGGACCGACACUGACGCUGAGGAGCGAAAGCCAGGGAGCAAAGCGGG
This 255-nucleotide ribosomal RNA is filed under the name uncultured bacterium. RNAcentral describes it as "partial 16S ribosomal RNA". It matches the Rfam family "Bacterial small subunit ribosomal RNA", at positions 524 to 777 of the family's 1533-position model. The record is from RNAcentral.